Molecule: ribosomal RNA, 237 nt
Filed under: uncultured bacterium
Lineage: Bacteria
Description: partial 16S ribosomal RNA
Rfam family: Bacterial small subunit ribosomal RNA
Source: RNAcentral
CGCACGGGUGAGUAACACGUAUCCAACCUGCCGUCUACUCUUGGCCAGCCUUCUGAAAGGAAGAUUAAUCCAGGAUGGCAUCAUGAGUUCACAUGUCCGCAUGAUUAAAGGUGUUUUCCGGUAGACGAUGGGGAUGCGUUCCAUUAGAUAGUAGGCGGGGUAACGGCCCACCUAGUCAACGAUGGAUAGGGGUUCUGAGAGGAAGGUCCCCCACAUUGGAACUGAGACACGGUCCAA